GACGAACGCUGGCGGCGUGCUUAACACAUGCAAGUCGAACGGAAAGGCCCUGCUUUUGUGGGGUGCUCGAGUGGCGAACGGGUGAGUAACACGUGAGUAACCUGCCCUUGACUUUGGGAUAACUUCAGGAAACUGGGGCUAAUACCGGAUAGGAGCUCCUGCUGCAUGGUGGGGGUUGGAAAGUUUCGGCGGUUGGGGAUGGACUCGCGGCUUAUCAGCUUGUUGGUGGGGUAGUGGCUUACCAAGGCUUUGACGGGUAGCCGGCCUGAGAGGGUGACCGGCCACUUGGGAAAGGAAAUGCGGCCUGAACCCCUAGGGGGGGGAGGAGUGGGAAAAAUGGCAAAAUGGGCGGAAGCCUGAUGAGGCAACGGCGGGGGGGGGGGGGGGGCCUUCGGGUUGUAAACCGCUUUGGCGUGGGAGGAGGCGUGGGUGGGGGUAAUGGGAAAAGGAGCCCCGGCAAACUACGG
This 467-nucleotide ribosomal RNA is filed under the name uncultured bacterium. Its description in RNAcentral is "partial 16S ribosomal RNA". It matches the Rfam family "Bacterial small subunit ribosomal RNA", at positions 28 to 506 of the family's 1533-position model. The record is from RNAcentral.